RNAcentral lists this unclassified non-coding RNA (690 nucleotides) under Hevea brasiliensis (rubber tree). The record is from RNAcentral. Lineage: Eukaryota; Viridiplantae; Streptophyta; Magnoliopsida; Malpighiales; Euphorbiaceae.
UUUCAAGUGUCAACCAAAAUGGUUGCUGCUUGAGGGGGAAUGUCAAGAGUCUCACAUCUAUAGAUUACAAGAAGUUCAAAGGGCUUAUAAGAGUAGAUGACCAAUUAAAGAUGACCAAUUAACUAAUUGGUUAGUUCUAACUUUUUAGCAAUGGUUGGUCCAAUCCCAAGAAAGCUCAUCUCACAUUUCACGGACUCUUGCCUCGGCCCUCAUUCACCUCUGCCUGUUCAAUUCAAUUCUGUAAUACUGUGAUAUGACUCUAUAAAGAUGAUUUACCUUAUCACUCUUGUUCCCUGCUUGCCAUUUUACCAUUAGAUUAUCUGGCGAAUUUUUUGAUGGGCAAGCAUGAUGUAAAGCCAGCUUUAGGCCACUUAGAAUUAUAUUGUUGCAUGUUUGGUAGAAUCUUGAAACACUUUCUGUUGAAUUUUCACUGUUUUGGUAGAAUCAGAGAUUUUUUUGGUGCAUGAAAUAAAAUGUAGGACUGUGGGAUGCACAAAAUGUUUUCUUAGAUUAAGUUGCCUAUUUUAAUAGUUUCUGUUAUGACGUGUAUAGCAUGGUCAUUCAUAAUAGGUGUGAUGUGGUUUGUGCACAUUGAUUGCAGUUAAUUUGCUUUCAGUUUGUAUUAUUUGUUUCAGCAUUACGAUUAGUUUAUUGUAUUUGCAUGUUAGUAUGUGCUGGAGGAACUCAAUG